AACUUUUAGUUUAGUUCCGUGGAGUUUGUCUUCGCUCUUUUCCUUUCCGUUCUUUUCUAUUUUUUUUUGGUUGUUGUUUCAGAAAUAAACCCCUAUGGCAGUUAUUCCACACCCUUCCCUCUUCCCCUUGAAACCCCGGGAACGCGACUGUCCAACGGUGUCACGUGACACGGGUGUCCUGUGCGUCCUCACCCGGCAACAGUCCUAGAGACCGACGCCGCCGGCUGCAACAUGAAUGUCAUCUACCCCCUGGCGGUUCCCAAGGGGCGUCGGCUCUGCUGUGAGGUGUGUGAAGCCCCGGCUGAACGUGUGUGCACGGCUUGCACAGUCACUUAUUACUGUGGUGUGGUGCAUCAAAAAGCUGAUUGGCGCAGCAUCCAUGAGAAGAUAUGUCAGCUCCUGAUUCCACUGCGCACUUCCAUGCCCUUCUAUAAUUCAGAGGAAGAACGGCAGCAUGGCUUGCAGCAGCUGCAUCAGCGGCAGAAGCACUUGAUUGAAUUCUGCUACAUGGUUGCCCAGAAAUAUCUUUUUGAAGGAAAACAUGAAGAUGCUGUGCCAGCAGCUUUGCAUUCGCUUCGCUUCCGCAUGGCCAUGCAUGGCCUGAGCUCAGUAGAGCUUGUGCCCGCUUACCUGCUGUUGGCUGAGGCCAGCCUUGGUCUGGGCCGGAUUGUUCAAGCUGAAGAAUAUCUUUCACAAGCCCAGUGGACAGUCCUCAAGUCCACUGAAUGUAGCAAUGCCACCUACUCCUUACUGCAUCGGAAUCUGGGGCUUCUCUACAUGGCCAAGGGAAACUAUGAGGAAGCCCGUUACCAUCUGGCCAAUGAUAUUUAUUUUGCCAGUUGUGCAUUUGGAACAGAGGAUAUCAGGACCUCUGGAGGCUACUUCCAGCUGGCUAAUAUCUUCCAUAGCCUUAAAAAAUUGGACUUGGCAGAUACAUUGUACACUAAGGUGUCAGAGAUCUGGCAUAAAUACUUGAGUGAUCACUAUCAAGUCCUGUCACAGGCUCGCAUCCAACAAAUAGAUUUACUAGGGAAACGAUUUGUGAAUGACACCGGGUUGGAUGAAGCCCAGGAAGCAGAAGCGGUUCAGAUCCUGACUUCCAUCCUGAACUUCCGAGAAUCAACUUCUGACACAUCACCUCAAAAGACUGUUUUUGUUCUGAAAACUCUCAUCAUGCUUUACUAUCAGAUGAUGAAUUCUUCAAAGAUGACUACCAUACUGUACCCAAUGGAAAUGCAGUAUGCCACUACCGCUUGUGCAAGUUUGUCAACAUGAGAUUGUACACGGCACACUAUUGGCUGAUGGAACGGAAUGCGACUGACCACAGCACCAUGUUCUGUAUCCUGGGUGCUGAUUGGCUCAGUGACUGUAGCAUUAUUCUGUUUGCUCUCCCACAUUGUUCCUUCAGAAGAGCCGUAAUGCUCUUCUCGGCUGUGCAGUCCAUUCAUCUCAUUGUCACCUUCAUCGCCAUCAUUACUGCACAGCUACAUGAUUCAUGAUCUUCUUCAUUCAAGUUGUAGAAUACUUCAUUGGAGUGGUGGUGCGCUCACAAAAGCUUAACAACCCGUCACCAGCGUGGUGUCUUUGAACGGUGGAGUUGGGAAGAGAGGGGCAGUGGCACACAGUUAAUUACACAGCAUUUCCACCACAUAAAUGCGGUAGAUGUCAAUAGCCUCAAAAACACAAAUGGUAAAAUAACUAGGAAGUUCAUGAGUUUUGAGUUUUUCUUACCUAUGUUUUAUUUUGUUCAUAUAAUUUAAUGUGUAGUAAUGGCUGUGUUUAAUAACCAGCUCACAACAUUCCCGAAAAUUUAACCAUCUGCUCUCUUGGCCGGUACAAACCUGCCUGGGUGUAUUUCUGGAGCUCAGGGGCCCUCCAGGUGGACCUAAACCCACCAGAUGCUGCCCAGUCCUGCCAUCACAAAGAACUCUGUCAGCUCCACGGAGUGAUUAAGGGCCACCAGCCCUACCCUUACAGGACAUUGGUAUCCUAAAUAGGAAAUUCUGGGAGUCCCGCUCAGAAUAGGACCAGGACAGCAGAAGUUUAGCUACUUUAUCGGCUAGUUCUAUCUAUCUCAGGACUACCAGCGCUGCCAAGUGCAGGUGCUGCUGUCUAUCAGUUCCCUGCACAGCCCCAGGCUUCCUGCACUCCCCUCACCCUGUUUGAUAACGUUGAAUUCAAGUCCCUGGCACCUCCUCCUUCCGUUUGAUGCGAAGCCAGUAAACCUAAUACAGGAAGAGCCCCCUCCCCGAAAAAAAGUGCUAAAUCACUCAAGGUCAGGCUGCUCAUCAGCUUUUUGUCUGAGGCAGCCUUUCCUUCAGGAUUUUUCUAAGUGACAUACACCCCCUAUAUCUUGCAUAUAGCAUCGUAGACUCUCAAGGAUGGAUGAGACCUUCCUAUCAUUAAGCUCAAGCGACAGCCUGCUUGAGCAGCCGCCAGCCCUACCCAGCAUCCCCACUCCCAGCUGCAAAGCUGCCGGCUGCCAGCUUUUAUCCCUUGGCGCUGAGCCACUACACGGGAAGGCUUGUGGUUGCUCACAGUGCGGGCAGCCAAAGGAAAGGAAACCGAAGUACGUACGUAUUCGAGUGUUUCAUUUUCAAGAUUAUGUUUACCGACUGCAGCAGACGUGUCAAAACUAAGAUUUAGCAAGCUGAGGUGACUGUCCUUGAGGUCACACAAGCUCUAGCUUAUCUGAGUCCGGUUUUGAACCCCACUUGACUCACACUGGGGCCAUUCCCAGUAGUCCUUUGCCUUCUGGGGGCAUGCCCCAGCACGCUAGUGGUGAGCAGGGGAAUCAGGACGCUGGGUUAGCAUAGUGAGAAUAAAACGUGUCACCUUCAGGGGUGGCUUUCGAGCUCCCUUGAGGAGGGAGCUGGCUUUGUUUGGGAAAUUCUUUCUGUAAGCCACCAAUGGUAAUGAUUGAAAUCAUGCAGGUAAGUGUUAGGAACCAAAAUUUUAAAAGAGGAAUGAUGAUACCUAAGAAUGUAAGUGGACCUGGCAUGUCCCAGGGAAGAGAGGGCAACCACGUGGCAUGGCAGGAGAGUGGAGACUUCCUCACGGUCCGUGAAGAUUCCGAGCGUGCUGCCAAGUCUGCAUGGCUGCAGCGCCUGCCACUCCCUCUCCCAUCCAGAUGUGCGCACGCGUGCACACACAUUCAUUGGAAUUUUGCCACGUGAUGAGGUGGGGGAGGGAACUGAGCAGGGAUGAGACAACACUGUUGCAUACAAUGAGGUAGCAGAGGUUUGGAAUCACCAGUAGUUACAAAAAAAUAAAUCCCUUAGAAAUCUCAGAAAUCCAAGGGAUCGGAAUGGGAACACAGAACCAUCGGAUUUGAAGAGGUAAGGGGUUCUCAGCCGACGGCUUGCUGUCAGGGGGACACACUGUGGAUUAAAGUGGGAGGAAACUUCUGACCUUGUUGCUGACUGCAACUGGAGUGUGUGAAGCAGACUCCCCUUAAGGUGCGCCUGAUGGGAGUCCAAGAACACCAAAUCCUUGGCCUGCAAGCCCCUUCGCAGUGAGAGGACAUCCGCCAAAACGGGGCUGAGGAAGCCCUUGGUCAGCACGGCAGGGCCUUCUCCUCCACAUCCUAUCACUGAGCGUAUGGUGGAGCUAAAUGGUCUGGCUUACCCUGAAGAGGGUGCAGGACAGGAGCCAGCCUGCACCCUGGAAAUCUCAUGCGCCUUUGGGGCUCUCAGCUAGGUCCAUGCAAUGUUGAAGCACUGACAGGUGCCCAUCAUCACAACUGUCUGGAGAAGAGGAUCGGCAGAGAGUGGGCCCAGGACAGCAGGAAGGGCCGGAUGUGUAGAGGAACAGAACCCUCUCUGGGUACUGACCUGGAGGGAAGUCACACUGCCUGGAUUCAGCCUUGCUGCUGACUGGCUAAGUGACUGGUUUCUGCAGCCAGAUGCCCGAUCUAUAAAACGGGGACUAGACUACUCUCCAAGUGCUGCUACUCCUGUGACCUCCACUCUGGCUCUUGGGGUGAUUUUCCUAAUGCUGCUUUCGAGUCCCAGGAAACAUGAGCUCACAGAACAGGGUCACCAAGUAGGGCUGCAGUAUCAGCCAGGGCUUGGGAUAAUGCCGCGUGUUGGCAGGAACUGUACCUGCAGGAGUCAGAAGGCAUGAAGGAAGUUCACACUCAGCUGUGCGCACUGCAGGAGGGAAGGCUGCAGAGUAGGUCCGCAGAUUUGGAAAGGGGAGUUAUCUAGUUUUAGGGAAGGAUUAAAAUAAUAUAUCCCCAAGGACAGUCUCCGGAUAAAAACAUUUUAAAGCGAUCAUCUGUUCUGCUCUUGAAUAUCAGAGGCGAAGCCAAAAGCAGCACCAUGUUUUCUGUGAGGCUACAGCCCCAGAUCUAAGAACAUUCACUUUGGGGACAGUGACUCAUAGCCGUUGUCAAGGUCCAUCCCAAGACAUCUGCACAGACUAACUGCAAACAGAGGCCUCACUUCCAGGGCAAAGGGCGGAAUUACACUAAAGUGGCUUGUCUGAUGUUGGAUCCGUUUUCUGGCCUGACUCCCUUCACUGUCCUCAGUAGGUUGUGGCUCUUGGCUGCGCCCCCGCGGCACCCUGAUCCAUCCACUUCUGGGAGGGUCAGCUGUUACCUGAGUGGUCCUGGAACACCAUGUCCCCAUUAGCUGCUUCCAUCUUCUUCAGAUUCCUAGUGUUCUCAAAACCAGCAUUCCUCAAGACUUAAAGAAGGGACGAGGUGUAUCUCCCCACUUCCCCAGGUUGUAUCCCAGUAUCUUUAUACAGGGCAGCUGGCUUCAAAGACACCUACCUGUAUUCAGUACAUGCACGAUUCUUUCAUUAAAAUAACCCACAAAACAGCCAUGUUUUCCUCUUUCCCACUAGAAUCCCAAGUCAUCCCAAUUUUGUUUUUCUCACACAAAACUAUCCCAGACCUCUCCUCUUCUCUUUCCUUCUUGCUGGAUUUCAAUCAUCAUGGACUCCCUUAGCUGAGAACAUUGAGUCUACAACCGUGACGGU
RNA transcript from Chinchilla lanigera (long-tailed chinchilla), 4986 nucleotides. It is a transcript of the gene named zinc finger, MYND-type containing 12, with no coding region annotated. The transcript has 9 exons. The record is from RefSeq and is a predicted model, not a curated record. Lineage: Eukaryota; Metazoa; Chordata; Mammalia; Rodentia; Chinchillidae.